GAACGCUGGCGGCUAUGCCUAACACAUCGCAAGUCGAACGAAGGCUUCGGCCUUAGUGGCGCACGGGUGCGUAACGCGUGGGAAUCUGCCCUUGGGUUCGGAAUAACAGUGAGAAAUUACUGCUAAUACCGGAUGAAGUCGAAAGACCAAAGAUUUAUCGCCCGAGGAUGAGCCCGCGUAGGAUUAGCUAGUUGGUGAGGUAAGAGCUCACCAAGGCGACGAUCCUUACCUGGUCUGAGAGGAUGAUCAGCCACACUGGGACUGAACACGGCCCA
This 275-nucleotide ribosomal RNA is filed under the name Sphingomonas sp. STM 384. Its description in RNAcentral is "partial 16S ribosomal RNA". It matches the Rfam family "Bacterial small subunit ribosomal RNA", at positions 31 to 333 of the family's 1533-position model. Lineage: Bacteria; Pseudomonadati; Pseudomonadota; Alphaproteobacteria; Sphingomonadales; Sphingomonadaceae. The record is from RNAcentral.